This 75-nucleotide transfer RNA is filed under the name Salmonella enterica subsp. enterica serovar Muenchen. RNAcentral's name for it is "tRNA-His". It matches the Rfam family "tRNA". From Rfam's summary of the family: Transfer RNA (tRNA) molecules are approximately 80 nucleotides in length. Their secondary structure includes four short double-helical elements and three loops (D, anti-codon, and T loops). The record is from RNAcentral. Lineage: Bacteria; Pseudomonadati; Pseudomonadota; Gammaproteobacteria; Enterobacterales; Enterobacteriaceae. RNAcentral also lists the same sequence under 1 other name.
UGGGGUAUCGCCAAGCGGUAAGGCACCGGUUUAUGAUUCCGGCAUUCCGAGGUUCGAAUCCUCGUACCCCAGCCA